UGGGGGAUAUUGCACAAUGGGCGAAAGCCUGAUGCAGCGACGCCGCGUGGGGGAUGAAGGCUUUCGGGUUGUAAACCUCUUUCGCUAUCGAACAAGGCCCGCUUAGGGUGGGUUGAGGGUAGGUGGAGAAGAAGCGCCGGCUAACUACGUGCCAGCAGCCGCGGUAAUACGUAGGGCGCGAGCGUUGUCCGGAAUUAUUGGGCGUAAAGGGCUUGUAGGCGGCUUGUUGCGCCUGCUGUGAAAACGCGGGGCUUAACUUCGCGCGUGCAGUGGGUACGGGCAGGCUUGAGUGUGGUAGGGGUGACUGGAAUUCCAGGUGUAGCGGUGGAAUGCGCAGAUAUCUGGCGGAGCACCGAUGGCGAAGGCAGGUCACUGGGCCAUUACUGACGCUGAGGAGCGAAAGCAUGGGUAGCGAACAGG
This 420-nucleotide ribosomal RNA is filed under the name bacterium. RNAcentral describes it as "partial 16S ribosomal RNA". It matches the Rfam family "Bacterial small subunit ribosomal RNA", at positions 355 to 776 of the family's 1533-position model. The record is from RNAcentral.